UCGGAAUUACUGGGCGUAAAGCGCAUGCAGGUGGUUUGUUAAGUUCAGAUGUGAAAGACCCGGGGCGUUAACCUACGGAAUAGCAUUUGUAAACUAGGCAGACUAGAGUACUGUAGAGGGGGGUAGGAAUUUCAGGUGUAGCGGUGAAAUGCGUAGAGAUCUGAAGGAAUACCGGUGGCGAAGGCGGCCCCCUCGGACAGAUACUGACACUCAGAUGCGAAAGCGUGGGGAGCAAACAGGAUUAGAUACCCUGGUAG
This 257-nucleotide ribosomal RNA is filed under the name uncultured bacterium. RNAcentral describes it as "partial 16S ribosomal RNA". It matches the Rfam family "Bacterial small subunit ribosomal RNA", at positions 545 to 793 of the family's 1533-position model. The record is from RNAcentral.